This 107-nucleotide small nuclear RNA is filed under the name Lynx canadensis (Canada lynx). The record is from RNAcentral. RNAcentral also lists the same sequence under 1 other name. Lineage: Eukaryota; Metazoa; Chordata; Mammalia; Carnivora; Felidae.
GUGCUCGCUUUGGCAGCACAUAUACUAAAAAUGGAACGAUACAGAGAAGAUUAGCAUAGCCCCUGCGCAAGGAUGACACACAAAUUCGUGAAGUGUUCCAUAUUUAA